CUGUGAAGGUGGCCUGUGAGGGUUGCUGGAGGUAUCAGAAGUGCGAAUGCUGACAUAAGUAACGAUAAAGCGGGUGAAAAGCCCGCUCGCCGGAAGACCAAGGGUUCCUGUCCAACGUUAAUCGGGGCAGGGUGAGUCGACCCCUAAGGCGAGGCCGAAAGGCGUAGUCGAUGGGAAACGGGUUAAUAUUCCCGUACUUGGUGUUACUGCGAAGGGGGGACGGAGAAGGCUAUGUUGGCCGGGCGACGGUUGUCCCGGUUUAAGCGUGUAGGUGUGUGUUCCAGGUAAAUCCGGUUCACUUUAACACUGAGGCGUGAUGACGAGGCACCACGGUGCUGAAGCAACAAAUGCCCUGCUUCCAGGAAAAGCCUCUAAGCAUCAGGUAACAUCAAAUCGUACCCCAAACCGACACAGGUGGUCAGGUAGAGAAUACCAAGGCGCUUGAGAGAACUCGGGUGAAGGAACUAGGCAAAAUGGUGCCGUAACU
Molecule: ribosomal RNA, 487 nt
Filed under: Salmonella enterica subsp. salamae serovar 42:b:1,5
Lineage: Bacteria; Pseudomonadati; Pseudomonadota; Gammaproteobacteria; Enterobacterales; Enterobacteriaceae
Description: partial 23S ribosomal RNA
Rfam family: Bacterial large subunit ribosomal RNA
Source: RNAcentral